GACUGAAUGGCUUUACAAUAAGGUUCUAUUCUCCAUAUUCAAGCCAGCACUACUUGUAAAUUACAAAAAUAAAACAUGAAAAAGAAAGACGGGAAGGGGGGAACAACUCAACUUUGAUACAUUGUCAAAUAUUGGAUUAGGACCAAUAUUGCUAAAAGCACUUUUAGGAUCUAUAACUGCUCCUUAUCUGGCAAACCCAAAAAAACCAAAUUGCUAUGUGGUUCAUCAUUGAUUUGUGCACCCAAAUUGAAAUGGAUGGUCACCUUAAAAAAAUGCGUAGACGUAAUUAAUGAAUAUACAAACAUGAAUCAGUAUCCCAGAUGGGCACUGAAACUCGGAAAAACUGAGGCUCAAUUAGGCAUGUUUGCUAAAGUUACUUUUUCACAAUUGUUGUAUUUUUAUACUAAUUGCAAAAGGCCAAAAAAUAAGCCUUAGCAAGUUGACCAAAUGAAGCCUAAAAUAUAGUCAGAUUGUACAGCAUUAGUGCGAGUAACUGACAAACCAAAUGAAAUAGCAGUAGCAUUAUAGGGACUAGUACCUAGUUGGUGGUACUCAUUGUUUCAGAUCAAUUUUUUAAACAUUAAGAAAUAUAAAAUAUUUCUAGUUUCCAUGGUCAUUCCUUCUUCAUGCAGAGUUGCAGUCAUUGAUUUUAAUUUCUUUACCAGCAUGUUUAUAAUGGAAGCUAUUUUUGUGUCAUCCAGCUGAAUUUGAAGAAUUUAAUUAAAAAAAUAUAUCUUAUCCAGAUAUAUUUAUGUGUGCAUUUCCAUUAUAAUUAUCACUCAUUAACCUACCUUCGAAUGACCUCAAACCAGAGCUUCUUCAUCCAUGCUGAGUUGUGCUGACAUGUAUAAUAUUUCUCUCGUAAAAGUAGAGAUUAACAAAAUCUGAAUAAAUAGAAGAUACAAUACACAUGGUUAUGUCAAAUUGAGCAUUUGCUUAGGGAUUUUUCGAAUUUUCCAGGUAUUAUUAAAUUUGU
Molecule: unclassified non-coding RNA, 976 nt
Filed under: Hevea brasiliensis (rubber tree)
Lineage: Eukaryota; Viridiplantae; Streptophyta; Magnoliopsida; Malpighiales; Euphorbiaceae
Source: RNAcentral